ACUGCCUGAACCACCACGCCUUCAACAGCGGGCUGCUGCAGCAUCGACCGGAAGCAAACAAAAGGACGACACUCACAAGGAACGAAGAAGCCAGCUAUCCUUGUCAACUUGAUGUUUUAGCUUUCAUUUUGUACAACUCAUCUCCCAUACUUACAUCUUUUAGUUGUCCAUUUGUGAACCUGAUGUAUGGUGUCUUGGUGGUUAUGUUUCUAACAAACUAAAGUGCAUAUAUGUGAUAUAAUUAGUUAAUGGAAUAAAAGCUGAUUGGUGCACAUAAUGUGAACCUGAUA
This is a long non-coding RNA of Triticum dicoccoides, 290 nucleotides long. RefSeq lists it as uncharacterized. The record is from RefSeq and is a predicted model, not a curated record. The transcript has 2 exons. NCBI's taxonomy places the organism in Eukaryota, Viridiplantae, Streptophyta, Magnoliopsida, Poales, Poaceae.